Molecule: small nucleolar RNA, 134 nt
Filed under: Castor canadensis (American beaver)
Lineage: Eukaryota; Metazoa; Chordata; Mammalia; Rodentia; Castoridae
Description: Small Cajal body specific RNA 8 (ENSCCNG00000011060.1)
Rfam family: Small Cajal body specific RNA 8
About the family: scaRNAs are a specific class of small nuclear RNAs which localise to the Cajal bodies and guide the modification of RNA polymerase II transcribed spliceosomal RNAs U1, U2, U4, U5 and U12.
Source: Rfam by way of RNAcentral
UGGGAGGCUGAUACACAAAUUGGGCUGAAAUACUGCUCUAAUUGUCACCAUAAUUCCCUAGACUAAAAGCUGCCUUUUGAUGACCAAGACAAAUUAAGUGAAAUUGUAACGGACAGAUACGGGGGCAGACAAUU